RNAcentral lists this ribosomal RNA (433 nucleotides) under uncultured bacterium. Its description in RNAcentral is "bacterial SSU rRNA". It matches the Rfam family "Bacterial small subunit ribosomal RNA", at positions 354 to 777 of the family's 1533-position model. The record is from RNAcentral.
GUAGGGAAUAUUCCACAAUGAACGAAAGUUUGAUGGAGCGACACAGCGUGCAGGAUGAAGGUCCUAUGGAUUGUAAACUGCUGUGGUAAGGGAAGAAAAAGUAGCUUAGGAAAUGAAGUUACAUUGACGGUACCUUAUUAGAAAGCAACGGCUAACUAUGUGCCAGCAGCCGCGGUAAUACAUAGGUUGCAAGCGUUAUCCGGAAUUAUUGGGCGUAAAGCAUCUGUAGGUUGUUUGUUAAGUCUGGCGUCAAAUUUUGGGGCUCAACCCCAAAUCGCGUUGGAUACUGGCAGACUAGAGUUAUGUAGAGGUUAGCAGAAUUCCUUGUGAAGCGGUGAAAUGCGUAGAUAUAAGGAAGAAUAUCAAUAUGGCGAAGGCAGCUAACUGGACAUACACUGACACUGAGAGAUGAAAGCGUGGGGAGCAAACAGGA